This 468-nucleotide long non-coding RNA is filed under the name Capsella rubella. RNAcentral describes it as "long non-coding RNA (CRUB_LNC004628)". Lineage: Eukaryota; Viridiplantae; Streptophyta; Magnoliopsida; Brassicales; Brassicaceae. The record is from RNAcentral.
UUCGUAUUAAAUCGGACUAAAACAGGGAUUAGCAUAAUAGCUUUGGUUGAAUGUUUCUCCAAGCCCACAUGGACCGAAGUCCACAAGUUCAAGUUGCCCACAAGUUCAAGUUGCCCACAUGUGGACCGGCUUCGUUUUUAAUACAAGUAGGCCUUACAAAUUCUAUGAGUUGAAGACCUAGGAGGAUCUUUUCUUGAAGUCGUAGCCCCACACACCAAACAUUAGUUCUGUUUUUGUACUUUUCCUAAAUCUUUAAUUUGUCUUUUUGAUGAGGAUGUUGUUUUGAAUACACGUUUUUUUUUAAGAUGUUUAUAAUAAGGUGAUUAUGUAAGUAGGUGUGUCAUGAGAAUUUUGCCAAAUCACAUUUUCCUAAUACUACUAGUGUUUAACAAAAUAGCUCAUAUUCAUUCAUAUGCACAAAUGAAACCAUUAAAAUUAUUAAUUUAUGGAAACUACGUUGAUGGAUGA